This 465-nucleotide ribosomal RNA is filed under the name Vreelandella stevensii. RNAcentral describes it as "partial 16S ribosomal RNA". It matches the Rfam family "Bacterial small subunit ribosomal RNA", at positions 338 to 795 of the family's 1533-position model. Lineage: Bacteria; Pseudomonadati; Pseudomonadota; Gammaproteobacteria; Oceanospirillales; Halomonadaceae. The record is from RNAcentral.
CCUACGGGGGACUGCAGUGGGGAAUAUUGGACAAUGGGGGCAACCCUGAUCCAGCCAUGCCGCGUGUGUGAAGAAGGCCCUCGGGUUGUAAAGCACUUUCAGUGAGGAAGAACGCCUGGUGGUUAAUACCCAUCAGGAAAGACAUCACUCACAGAAGAAGCACCGGCUAACUCCGUGCCAGCAGCCGCGGUAAUACGGAGGGUGCGAGCGUUAAUCGGAAUUACUGGGCGUAAAGCGCGCGUAGGUGGCUUGAUAAGCCGGUUGUGAAAGCCCCGGGCUCAACCUGGGAACGGCAUCCGGAACUGUCAAGCUAGAGUGCAGGAGAGGAAGGUAGAAUUCCCGGUGUAGCGGUGAAAUGCGUAGAGAUCGGGAGGAAUACCAGUGGCGAAGGCGGCCUUCUGGACUGACACUGACACUGAGGUGCGAAAGCGUGGGUAGCAAACAGGAUUAGAUACCCUGGUAGUC